GGAGGGCAUACGCGCAGGUCAGCUUGGUAGGCGCAUUGCGGUCCGUGACGGGCUGUAAAUCCGUCGGCUUAGCCUACCCAGGUUCGAAUCCUGGACCCGCCA
Molecule: transfer RNA, 102 nt
Filed under: Actinomadura bangladeshensis
Lineage: Bacteria; Bacillati; Actinomycetota; Actinomycetes; Streptosporangiales; Thermomonosporaceae
Description: tRNA-Tyr
Rfam family: tRNA (bases 30-102)
About the family: Transfer RNA (tRNA) molecules are approximately 80 nucleotides in length. Their secondary structure includes four short double-helical elements and three loops (D, anti-codon, and T loops). Further hydrogen bonds mediate the characteristic L-shaped molecular structure. tRNAs have two regions of fundamental functional importance: the anti-codon, which is responsible for specific mRNA codon recognition, and the 3' end, to which the tRNAs corresponding amino acid is attached (by aminoacyl-tRNA synthetases). tRNAs cope with the degeneracy of the genetic code in two manners: having more than one tRNA (with a specific anti-codon) for a particular amino acid; and 'wobble' base-pairing, i.e. permitting non-standard base-pairing at the 3rd anti-codon position.
Source: RNAcentral